Molecule: long non-coding RNA, 203 nt
Filed under: Brassica napus (rape)
Lineage: Eukaryota; Viridiplantae; Streptophyta; Magnoliopsida; Brassicales; Brassicaceae
Description: long non-coding RNA (BNAP_LNC023926)
Source: RNAcentral
GCAAGACUUACCCCCUCGUUUUCUAUAAAUAUGGGGUCUCUCCUGUUGAUUUCAUUAUCCAAUUCCAGAGUAAAAUUCUCAGAGAAAAACGUAGAGAGAGAGAGAGAGUCCCGGCCAAGAGAUCGGCCGGAAAAGGGCCGGUCGUGGUGGUUUUGUGUCUCCGGCAAGGAGAAUGGUUUAGGAGAGAGGAGGCCGUGUGGUUA